This 606-nucleotide ribosomal RNA is filed under the name Simplicillium sp. JCM 28580. RNAcentral describes it as "eukaryotic LSU rRNA". It matches the Rfam family "Eukaryotic large subunit ribosomal RNA", at positions 38 to 667 of the family's 3401-position model. The record is from RNAcentral. Lineage: Eukaryota; Fungi; Ascomycota; Sordariomycetes; Hypocreales; Cordycipitaceae.
GCAUAUCAAUAAGCGGAGGAAAAGAAACCAACAGGGAUUGCCCCAGUAACGGCGAGUGAAGCGGCAACAGCUCAAAUUUGAAAUCUGGCUCCUAGAGUCCGAAUUGUAAUUUGCAGAGGAUGCUUUUGAUGCGGUGCCUUCCGAGUUCCCUGGAACGGGACGCCAUAGAGGGUGAGAGCCCCGUCUGGUCGGAUGCCAAAUCUCUGUAAAGCUCCUUCGACGAGUCGAGUAGUUUGGGAAUGCUGCUCUAAAUGGGAGGUAUAUGUCUUCUAAAGCUAAAUAUUGGCCAGAGACCGAUAGCGCACAAGUAGAGUGAUCGAAAGAUGAAAAGCACUUUGAAAAGAGGGUUAAAAAGUACGUGAAAUUGUUGAAAGGGAAGCGCCUAUGACCAGACUUGGGCCCGGUGAAUCAUCCAGCGUUCUCGCUGGUGCACUUUGCCGGGCACAGGCCAGCAUCAGUUUGCCUUGGGGGAAAAAGGCUUUGGGAAUGUAGCUCCUUCGGGAGUGUUAUAGACCAUUGCAUAAUACCCUGGGGCGGACUGAGGUUCGCGCAUCUGCAAGGAUGCUGGCGUAAUGGUCAUCAGCGACCCGUCUUGAAACACGGACC